This 578-nucleotide ribosomal RNA is filed under the name Candidozyma haemuli. Its description in RNAcentral is "eukaryotic LSU rRNA". The stretch from base 187 to 578 matches the Rfam family "Eukaryotic large subunit ribosomal RNA", at positions 1 to 401 of the family's 3401-position model. The record is from RNAcentral. Lineage: Eukaryota; Fungi; Ascomycota; Pichiomycetes; Serinales; Metschnikowiaceae.
AUGAAGAACGCAGCGAAUUGCGAUACGUAGUAUGACUUGCAGACGUGAAUCAUCGAAUCUUUGAACGCAUAUUGCGCCUUGGGGCAUUCCCCAAGGCAUGCCUGUUUGAGCGUGAUAUCUUCUCACCCUUGGUGGAUUUGUUUCUAAAUAUCAUGCCACAGUGAAGUCUACGCUUUCACUGCUUUUUCCCCUCAAAUCAGGUAGGACUACCCGCUGAACUUAAGCAUAUCAAUAAGCGGAGGAAAAGAAACCAACAGGGAUUGCCUCAGUAACGGCGAGUGAAGCGGCAAGAGCUCAACUUUGGAAUCGCUGCGGCGAGUUGUAGUCUGGAGGUGGCCGGUCCCGGCGCCAGCGCGCAGCCAAGUCCUUUGGAACAAGGCGCCUGAGAGGGUGACAGCCCCGUGGCAGUUUGUGCUGGUGCCGCCUCGGCCCACCGACGAGUCGAGUUGUUUGGGAAUGCAGCUCUAAGUGGGUGGUAAAUUCCAUCUAAAGCUAAAUACCGGCGAGAGACCGAUAGCGAACAAGUACAGUAAUGGAAAGAUGAAAAGCACUUUGAAAAGAGAGUGAAACAGUACGUG